This is a non-coding RNA of Marchantia polymorpha subsp. ruderalis, 127 nucleotides long. The record is from the annotation of a GenBank genome assembly. Lineage: Eukaryota; Viridiplantae; Streptophyta; Marchantiopsida; Marchantiales; Marchantiaceae.
AGAAUGCGCCAAGGCGGACUCCAGUUGGCAUGUGCAUUUGAUUUCUUGGUCCGCUGUGCUUACGGCCUACACGAUUCAUGGAUCAUGAUAUUGCUCAUGCCAACUUGGGCCAGCCUCGGCGCGCUCU